Molecule: unclassified non-coding RNA, 241 nt
Filed under: uncultured fungus
Lineage: Eukaryota; Fungi
Also listed under: 1 other name
Description: partial contains 5.8S ribosomal RNA, internal transcribed spacer 2, and large subunit ribosomal RNA
Source: RNAcentral
AACGCACAUUGCGCCCCUUGGUAUUCCGGGGGGCAUGCCUGUUCGAGCGUCAUUUCAACCCUCAAGCUCAGCUUGGUCUUGGGCCCUGCCGGUAACGGCUGGCCUUAAAAUCAGUGGCGGUGCUAUCGAGCUCUACGCGUAGUAAUUAACCCUCGCGAUUGAGUCUCGGUGGACGCUGGCCAGCAACCCCCAAUUUUCUAUGGUUGACCUCGGAUCAGGUAGGGAUACCCGCUGAACUUAA